Molecule: unclassified non-coding RNA, 146 nt
Filed under: soil metagenome
Description: partial internal transcribed spacer 1
Source: RNAcentral
UAAUAGGUGUUUUAUGGCCACUUUUUAAAUCCAUAUCCACCUUGUGUGCAAUGUCAGUCGAUCUUCUUCAUGGAGAUCGACCAAACAUCAACCUUUAUCUUUUAACUCUUUGUCUGAAAAAUAUUAUGAAUAAACAAUUCAAAAUA